UGGCUCAGAACGAACGCUGGCGGCGUGCUUAACACAUGCAAGUCGAGCGGGGUCCAGCCUAAAGCAAGACAGGGGAAGACCUAGCGGCGAACGGGUGAGUAACACGUGAGGAACCUGCCCCGAAGACUGGGAUAACACCGGGAAACCGGUGCUAAUACCGGAUGCCCUCAGAGAGUCGCAUGGCUCAUUGAGGAAAUGGAUUCCGCUUCGGGAGGGCCUCGCGGCCUAUCAGCUUGUUGGUGGGGUGAUGGCCUACCAAGGCGAGGACAGAGUAGCCGGCCUGAGAGGGCGACCGGCCACACUGGGAUUUUCUCUCGGCCCAAGAUCCUACGGGAGGCA
Molecule: ribosomal RNA, 339 nt
Filed under: uncultured Acidimicrobiales bacterium
Lineage: Bacteria; Bacillati; Actinomycetota; Acidimicrobiia; Acidimicrobiales
Description: bacterial SSU rRNA
Rfam family: Bacterial small subunit ribosomal RNA
Source: RNAcentral